GAUGAACGCUGGCGGCGUGCCUAAUACAUGCAAGUCGAGCGAACAGACGAGGAGCUUGCUCCUCUGACGUUAGCGGCGGACGGGUGAGUAACACGUGGAUAACCUACCUAUAAGACUGGGAUAACUUCGGGAAACCGGAGCUAAUACCGGAUAAUAUAUUGAACCGCAUGGUUCAAUAGUGAAAGACGGAUUUGCUGUCACUUAUAGAUGGAUCCGCGCCGCAUUAGCUAGUUGGUAAGGUAACGGCUUACCAAGGCAACGAUGCGUAGCGGACCUGAGAGGAGGAUCAGCCACACUGGAACUGAGACACGGUCCAGACUCCUACGGGAGGCAGCAGUGGGGAAUAUUGGACAAUGGGCGAAAGCCUGAUCCAGCCAUGCCGCGUGUGUGAAGAAGGUCUUCGGAUUGUAAAGCACUUUAAGUUGGGAGGAAGGGCAGUAAGUUAAUACCUUGCUGUUUUGACGUUACCAACAGAAUAAGCACCGGCUAACUUCGUG
Molecule: ribosomal RNA, 497 nt
Filed under: uncultured bacterium
Lineage: Bacteria
Description: partial 16S ribosomal RNA
Rfam family: Bacterial small subunit ribosomal RNA
Source: RNAcentral